UGGGGAAUAUUGCACAAUGGGCGCAAGCCUGAUGCAGCAACGCCGCGUGAGGGAUGACGGCCUUCGGGUUGUAAACCUCUUUUAGCAGGGAAGAAGCGAAAGUGACGGUACCUGCAGAAAAAGCACCGGCUAACUACGUGCCAGCAGCCGCGGUAAUACGUAGGGUGCAAGCGUUGUCCGGAAUUAUUGGGCGUAAAGAGCUCGUAGGCGGUCUGUCGCGUCUGCUGUGAAAUCCCCGAGGCUCAACCUCGGGCCUGCAGUGGGUACGGGCAGACUAGAGUGCGGUAGGGGAGAAUGGAACUCCUGGUGUAGCGGUGGAAUGCGCAGAUAUCAGGAAGAACACCGAUGGCGAAGGCAGUUCUCUGGGCCGUAACCGACGCUGAGGAGCGAAAGCGUGGGGAGCGAACAGGAUUAGAUACCCUGGUAGUCCACGCCGUAAACGUUGGGCGCUAGAUGUGGGACCAUUCCACGGUUUCCGUGUCGCAGCUAACGCAUUAAGCGCCCCGCCUGGGGAGUACGGCCGCAAGGC
This 529-nucleotide ribosomal RNA is filed under the name uncultured bacterium. RNAcentral's name for it is "partial 16S ribosomal RNA". It matches the Rfam family "Bacterial small subunit ribosomal RNA", at positions 355 to 894 of the family's 1533-position model. The record is from RNAcentral.